Molecule: unclassified non-coding RNA, 206 nt
Filed under: Glomus sp.
Lineage: Eukaryota; Fungi; Glomeromycota; Glomeromycetes; Glomerales; Glomeraceae
Description: partial contains 5.8S ribosomal RNA and internal transcribed spacer 2
Rfam family: 5.8S ribosomal RNA (bases 1-71)
Source: RNAcentral
GUGAAUCAUCGAAUCUUUGAACGCAAAUUGCACUUUAUGGUAUUCCGGAGAGUAUGCCUGUUCGAGGGUCAGUUACAUAAUCAUCGGUGUUGUUGCUGCUUUUCGUUGUGACGCGCCGGAAUUGCGUUGUCUUACCUUCGGUUAAGUGACUUAAAAUUUUGCAUGAUUUUCGAACGUAUUUUAAUUUCUUACGUACGUUUGAGUUA